UAAACGAUGGAUACUAGCUGUUUGGUUUUAUGACUGAGUGGCUAAGCGAAAGUGAUAAGUAUCCCACCUGGGGAGUACGUUCGCAAGAAUGAAACUCAAAGGAAUUGACGGGGGCCCGCACAAGCGGUGGAGCAUGUGGUUUAAUUCGAUGAUACGCGAGGAACCUUACCAAGGUUUAAAUGGAGACUGACAGGGGCAGAGAUGCCUCCUUCUUCGGACAGUUUUCAAGGUGCUGCAUGGCUGUCGUCAG
RNAcentral lists this ribosomal RNA (250 nucleotides) under uncultured bacterium. RNAcentral's name for it is "partial 16S ribosomal RNA". It matches the Rfam family "Bacterial small subunit ribosomal RNA", at positions 803 to 1058 of the family's 1533-position model. The record is from RNAcentral.